AACGAACGCUGGCGGCAUGCCUAACACAUGCAAGUCGAACGAGACCUUCGGGUCUAGUUGCGCACGGGUGCGUAACGCGUGGGAACCUGCCCUUAGGUUCGGAAUAACUCCCCGAAAGGGGUGCUAAUACCGGAUAAUGUCUUCGGACCAAAGAUUUAUCGCCUUUGGAUGGGCCCGCGUUGGAUUAGCUAGUUGGUAGGGUAAAAGCCUACCAAGGCGACGAUCCAUAGCUGGUCUGAGAGGAUGAUCAGCCACACUGGGACUGAGACACGGCCCAGACUCCUACGGGAGGCAGCAGUGGGGAAUACUGGACAAUGGGCGAAAGCCUGAUCCAGCAAUGCCGCGUGAGUGAUGAAGGCCUUAGGGUUGUAAAGCUCUUUUACACGGGAUGAUAAUGACAGUAACGGGAGAAUAAGCUCCGGCUAACUCCGUG
This 433-nucleotide ribosomal RNA is filed under the name uncultured bacterium. Its description in RNAcentral is "partial 16S ribosomal RNA". It matches the Rfam family "Bacterial small subunit ribosomal RNA", at positions 29 to 507 of the family's 1533-position model. The record is from RNAcentral.